UUUCCGUAGGUGAACCUGCGGAAGGAUCAUUCAUAAUAAAGUGUUUUAUGGCACUUUUUAAAAAUCCAUAUCCACCUUGUGUGCAAUGUUAGAUCUCGUCAAUCUUGGCGAGAUUUUUAUACAUCAACUCAUUCUUUAACUAAUUUGUCUGAAAAAUAUUAUGAUUACUUAAUUCAAAAUACAACUUUCAACAACGGAUCUCUUGGCUCUC
RNAcentral lists this unclassified non-coding RNA (211 nucleotides) under plant metagenome. Its description in RNAcentral is "partial contains small subunit ribosomal RNA, internal transcribed spacer 1, and 5.8S ribosomal RNA". The record is from RNAcentral.